Macaca fascicularis (crab-eating macaque) is the source of this 148-nucleotide unclassified non-coding RNA. It matches the Rfam family "Metazoan signal recognition particle RNA". From Rfam's summary of the family: The signal recognition particle (SRP) is a universally conserved ribonucleoprotein. It is involved in the co-translational targeting of proteins to membranes. The eukaryotic SRP consists of a 300-nucleotide 7S RNA and six proteins: SRPs 72, 68, 54, 19, 14, and 9. NCBI's taxonomy places the organism in Eukaryota, Metazoa, Chordata, Mammalia, Primates, Cercopithecidae. The record is from Ensembl.
GCUGGGCGUGGUGGCACGUGCCUGUAAUCCCAGCUACCCUGGAGGCUGAGGCAGGAGAAUCGCUUGAACCCAGGAGGCAGAGGUUGCAGUGAGCUGAGAUCGUGCCACUGCACCCUAGCCUGGGUGACAGAGCAAGACUCUGUCUCAA